Molecule: ribosomal RNA, 223 nt
Filed under: uncultured bacterium
Lineage: Bacteria
Description: partial 16S ribosomal RNA
Rfam family: Bacterial small subunit ribosomal RNA
Source: RNAcentral
GCAAGUCGAACGAAGCCUUCGGGCUUAGUGGCGAACGGGUGAGUAACGCGUGGGAACCUGCCCCCGAGUGGGGAACAACCGCUGGAAACGGCGGCUAAUACCGCAUACGCCUCUUCGGAGGGAAAGCUUUAUGCGCUCAGGGAGGGUCCCGCGUCUGAUUAGCUUGUUGGUAGGGUAACGGCCUACCAAGGCGACGAUCAGUAGCUGGUCUGAGAGGAUGAUC